CCUACGGGGGGCUGCAGUGAGGAAUAUUGGUCAAUGGACGAGAGUCUGAACCAGCCAAGUAGCGUGAAGGAUGACUGCCCUAUGGGUUGUAAACUUCUUUUAUAAGGGAAUAAAACGAGGCACGUGUGCCUUUUUGCAUGUACUUCAUGAAUAAGGAUCGGCUAACUCCGUGUCAGCAGCCGCGGGAAUACGGAGGAUCCGAGCGUUAUCCGGAUUUAUUGGGUUUAAAGGGAGCGUAGAGGGGUUGUUAAGUGAGUUGUGAAAGGUUGCGGCUCAACCGUAAAAUUGCAAUUGAUACUGGCAGGCUUGAGUGCAGUUAGGGUAGGCGGAAUUCGUGGUGUAGCGGUGAAAUGCUUAGAUAUCACGAAGAACCCCGAUUGCGAAGGCAGCUUACUAAAGUGUGACUGACACUGAUGCUCGAAAGUGCGGGUAUCAAACAGGAUUAGAUACCCUAGUAGUC
Molecule: ribosomal RNA, 460 nt
Filed under: uncultured bacterium
Lineage: Bacteria
Description: partial 16S ribosomal RNA
Rfam family: Bacterial small subunit ribosomal RNA
Source: RNAcentral